CAUCUCUCCAUGCCUAUCCAAAAUGAACACAAGAGAAGUCUGGAAUGUAAAAAGGUUCCAAGUGUUCUUUAUGCUCCCCAGUCACAUUAUUCAUGCACAACACUCCCAACUCAGAAGUGCCUGCAAGACCACAACACCAAAACACAGCGCCAGGUUCCUGUUCCCCAGUCUCUACCCAUGUCCUCUUUCUUUCAGUAUGAGUUUCAUCCUGCACGAGUGAGGUCACCUGUGCUGUGGAGGAGGCCAUGAGCUGGUGAUUGAUGAAGUACACACACUUCUGGCAUGUUCACCAUCACAUGACACUGUAGGAAUAACCCAGACCAGGAGAGGCUGGUGGGUUGAGGGAAGCACGGAUGGUGCAGUCAAUUGCACAACAGGCGAAGAUUAGGCUCUGCAUUUCCUUUGUCUCUGGGCAGGACUUCUUUUGUUCUCAAUCUGAAAGGAUUACUGCAUAAGAUGGUAUCUUUUAUAGCCAUGAACGCAGACAUGUGAACCUCUUCUGUGAUUAUCACUGAAGAAAGGUGCCUACCUCCUCUGCUUACUGUUAUAUAAUUUGCAUCCGUGAAGAAAUGAUUGAGAAUGUCACUUUCAAAAUUACUUUUUUUCCUGCAUCUUCUCCAUAACAUUUUAAAAUGCGUGAACAUCUUGAUAAUGCUUCAUCUUUUCUACGUUAAAAGUAAAGAUCCAAGGCUUUGGCUUGCUCUUUGCUGUUCCUCCUGUUUAGAUCAGCAGACCCACUGGAGUCCAGCUUCACAAAGAAGACAGAAAAAGUGCUCUUUGAGGUGCUGCUGCAUGUUCAGAGGAAGGCAACACAGCUGGUGAGGGUUCUGGAGCGCAAGGCUGGCAGAAAGCAGCUUGGGCUCAGGGGAGGCAUUACCAUUUUCUACAACUGCCUGAAAGAAGGUUGCAGAGAGGUGGGGGUCAGCGUCUUCUUCCAGCUAUUCACUGCCAAAGUCCUACACUGUUGAGAGAUUGUGGCUUUUGAGCACAUUGCUGAUCCGACGUUGUCACAAUGGCCAAAAAUGUCAAAUUCAUACUCACAAUCUUGAAAUUGACAAAACAGAAGAGGUUGUUGAUGAGAUGGACUGGCUGGUUCAAGUCAGCUUUAUUAAGGUGUAACUCAAAGUAGACAAGCCAGGUGACCUCCACAUUGUCUUUUACUGGUAAUAGUCUACAUGCACUUCAAGGAUUGUAUGGCUAAAGCAUGCUGGAGAGAGAGAUCCAUCAUGCCACAAUGUGAUCCACAUAUUCUGCAGUAAGUUAGUAUGAGUUACAUCAAGCAAAGAGAAGCUUACGCUAAACCAGGCUGACAGUUUCCACAGUUAGAAAAUCUCCUGGAAAAAGAAGUACCACAUGUUCCUGAUAUAAAGACUCUUCACCAUGAAAUGGAAAUACAUCUCUCUGCUGCUUUCCACAAUUUUAACCUGCCCCUCCUUUGGCUCACUCACUGGGCUUUGCCUGUGUUUUGAAUCCUCUGAUAAUUUUAGUUCACAGUACUGCUUGACUUGGUCAUUUUGUGAGAAAUUAUUGCAGAUGCUAACCUGUGUGAUCCCUGCAAGGGAAGGUGAGAACUGUGCAGACUAGCAGCACUUCUAUCUGGCUAAACUCUUGUCUUUAUACAUAGUAUUUUCAUAAAUCAAAAUAUGAGUGUCUUUUGGGAAUGUAACACCUUCAGAUUCAGGCAAUAUAUAAAUAAAUGUUCAUCUUCUGAGGCUGAAA
Molecule: long non-coding RNA, 1719 nt
Organism: Taeniopygia guttata (zebra finch)
Lineage: Eukaryota; Metazoa; Chordata; Aves; Passeriformes; Estrildidae
Source: RefSeq, a predicted model, not a curated record